AGAGUUUGAUCCUGGCUCAGAACGAACGUUGGCGGCGUGGAUUAGGCAUGCAAGUCGAACGAAUCCCACUGGUGUAGCAAUACAUUGGUGGGGGAAGUGGCGAAAGGGGCAGUAAUGUAUGGGUAACCUACCCGGGGGUCGUGGAUAGCCGCCCUAACGGACGGGUAAUACAUGGCGAUUCGGCGAGGCGGCAUCGCUUUGCCGGGAAAGAAUUUCGCCUCCGGAGGGGCUCAUAUCGUAUUAGCUAGUUGGUGAGGUAACGGCUCACCAAGGCAAAGAUGCGUAGCGGGUGUGAGAGCACGACCCGCGCCACUGGCACUGAGACACUGGCCAGACACCUACGGGUGGCUGCAGUCGAGGAUCUUCGGCAAUGGGCGCAAGCCUGACCGAGCGACGCCGCGUGAAGGAUGAAGGCCUUCGGGUUGUAAACUUCUGUCGAGGGGGACCAAAGCCCGCAAGGGUUUGAGAGAUCCCUGGAGGAAGCACGGGCUAAGUUCGUGCCAGCAGCCGCGGUAAGACGAACCGUGCGAACGUUGUUCGGAAUCACUGGGCAUAAAGGGCGCGUAGGCGGCUUAUCAAGUCAGGGGUGAAAUCCGGCAGCUCAACUGUCGAAGUGCCCUUGAUACUGAUGAGCUCGAGGGAGGUAGGGGUGUGCGGAACUUCCGGUGGAGCGGUGAAAUGCGUUGAUAUCGGAAGGAACGCCGGUGGCGAAAGCGGCGCACUGGACCUCUUCUGACGCUGAGGCGCGAAAGCCAGGGGAGCAAACGGGAUUAGAUACCCCGGUAGUCCUGGCCCUAAACGAUGGGUACUAGAUAGUGGACUUGACAUGGGUUCACUGUCGAAGCAAAUGUGUUAAGUACCCCGCCUGGGGAGUAUGGUCGCAAGGCUGAAACUCAAAGGAAUUGACGGGGGCUCACACAAGCGGUGGAGCAUGUGGCUUAAUUCGAGGCUACGCGAAGAACCUUAUCCUAGGCUUGACAUGUGCGAAAGCGGUAGGAAGUAGCUGCCGGAAACGGCCAGCCAACGGUAUCCAGUCCGGAACCUACUACAGGUGCUGCAUGGCUGUCGUCAGCUCGUGUCGUGAGAUGUCGGGUUAAGUCCCAUAACGAGCGAAACCCUUGCCUCCAGUUGCCAGCGGGUCAUGCCGGGGACUCUGGAGGGACUGCCGGUGUUAAACCGGAGGAAGGUGGGGAUGACGUCAAGUCCUCAUGGCCUUUAUGCCUAGGGCUGCACACGUGCUACAAUGGUGCAUACAAAGGGACGCAAACUCGCGAGAGGGAGCAAAUCCCAAAAAAUGCACCCCAGUUCAGAUCGAAGGCUGCAACUCGCCUUCGUGAAGUUGGAAUCGCUAGUAAUCGCGGGUCAGCAACACCGCGGUGAAUGUGUUCCUGAGCCUUGUACACACCGCCCGUCAAGCCACGAAAGGGAGGGACGUCCGAAGUCGUCUUCACAGACGCCGAAGACGGACUUCCUGAUUGGGACUAAGUCGUAACAAGGUAACCGUAGGGGAACCUGUGGUUGGAUCACCUCCUU
This 1533-nucleotide ribosomal RNA is filed under the name uncultured bacterium. Its description in RNAcentral is "bacterial SSU rRNA". It matches the Rfam family "Bacterial small subunit ribosomal RNA". The record is from RNAcentral.